UACCUCAAAAUUCCGCAACAGUCUGUUUCAUCAGUAAAGAAUCAUCGGGCGCCUGAUGAUUCUUUACUGAUGAAACAGACUGUUGCGGAAUUU
Paramuricea clavata is the source of this 93-nucleotide non-coding RNA. The record is from the annotation of a GenBank genome assembly. NCBI's taxonomy places the organism in Eukaryota, Metazoa, Cnidaria, Anthozoa, Malacalcyonacea, Plexauridae.